UUGUUAUUCUCAUGUGUAUUUUGUAUAGUUAUAAAAUUAAUGUUAUAAAUAUAAUAAAUUGCAAUGGUCAAUAAAUACGAAUUUGUUGCUGAAGUGGUCUAUACACGUGGAAAUAAUAUGCCGCCGUCUAUAAUAUGUCACAGUCAUAUGCAGAUGGAAGACAUGAAACUUCAUUCCGAACACGACCCUGAUUCCUUACUUUACCAGAGAUCAGCAAAAAAUUAACUUUACAAACAAGAAAACGAAAUUAAAAGGAUAAAAAAAAUCAAAAAAUAAGAGUAGAUAAUACGCUAUUACUAUAGAAGUAAAGAAUAUAACAGACAGAAAUACAAAAUCAA
This 338-nucleotide long non-coding RNA is filed under the name Mytilus galloprovincialis (Mediterranean mussel). Lineage: Eukaryota; Metazoa; Mollusca; Bivalvia; Mytilida; Mytilidae. The record is from RNAcentral.